RNAcentral lists this ribosomal RNA (424 nucleotides) under Osteocephalus taurinus group sp. ABGD cluster 12. Its description in RNAcentral is "partial large subunit ribosomal RNA". It matches the Rfam family "Bacterial large subunit ribosomal RNA", at positions 1834 to 2439 of the family's 2925-position model. The record is from RNAcentral. Lineage: Eukaryota; Metazoa; Chordata; Amphibia; Anura; Hylidae.
CUUGAAUAUCUAUAAGAGGUCCAGCCUGCCCAGUGACUUUGUUCAACGGCCGCGGUAUCCUAACCGUGCGAAGGUAGCGUAAUCACUUGUCUUUUAAAUGGGGACUUGUAUGAAUGGCAUCACGAGGGUUAUACUGUCUCCUUUUUCUAAUCAGUGAAACUAAUCUUCCCGUGAAGAAGCGGGAAUAAACAUAUAAGACGAGAAGACCCUAUGGAGCUUUAAACUCAAUAACAAAUACUAACCUUACAUCAACUUUCAGAAGAUCAACCUUAAUUUUAGUAUUAUGAUUAUUAGUUUUAGGUUGGGGUGACCGCGGAGUAAAAAUUAACCUCCACAUUGAACGGGACCUGUCCCUGAGCCAAGAACUACAGCUCGAAGCACCAACAAAUUGACAUUAAUUGACCCAAUAUUUUGAUCAACGAAC